ACGGGGGGUGCAAGCGUUGUUCGGAAUUAUUGGGCGUAAAGCGCGUGUAGGCGGUUUGUUAAGUCUGAUGUGAAAGCCCCGGGCUCAACCUGGGAAGUGCAUUGGAAACUGGCAGACUUGAAUACGGGAGAGGGUAGUGGAAUUCCUGGUGUAGGAGUGAAAUCCGUAGAUAUCAGGAGGAACACCGGUGGCGAAGGCGGCUGCCUGGACCGAUAUUGACGCUGAGACGCGAAAGCGUGGGUAGCAAACAG
Molecule: ribosomal RNA, 251 nt
Filed under: uncultured prokaryote
Description: partial 16S rRNA
Rfam family: Bacterial small subunit ribosomal RNA
Source: RNAcentral